This 400-nucleotide ribosomal RNA is filed under the name uncultured Glomeromycotina. RNAcentral's name for it is "SSU rRNA". It matches the Rfam family "Eukaryotic small subunit ribosomal RNA", at positions 695 to 1092 of the family's 1831-position model. Lineage: Eukaryota; Fungi; Glomeromycota. The record is from RNAcentral.
UCCCUUUCUGAUGAAUCAUGAUGUCAUUAAUUUUGAUGUUGUGGGGAGUCAGGACUGUUACUUUGAAAAAAUUAGAGUCGUUUAAAGCAAGCACGCGCUUGAAUACAUUAGCAUGGAAUAAUGAAAUAGGACGUUCGAUUCUAUUUUGUUGGUUUCUAGGAUCAACGUAAUGAUUAAUAGGGAUAGUUGGGGGCAUUAGUAUUCAAUUGUCAGAGGUGAAAUUCUUGGAUUUAUUGAAGACUAACUACUGCGAAAGCAUUUGCCAAGGAUGUUUUCAUUAAUCAAGAACGAAGGUUAGGGGAUCGAAGACGAUCAGAUACCGUCGUAGUCUUAACCAUAAACUAUGCCGACUAGGGAUCGGAUGAUGUUAAUUUUUUAAUGACUCAUUCGGCGCCUUACG